UACGGAGGAUGCGAGCGUUAUCCGGAUUUAUUGGGUUUAAAGGGUGCGUAGGCGGCCUUUUAAGUCAGCGGUGAAAGUCUGUGGCUCAACCAUAGAAUUGCCGUCGGAACUGGCAGUCUUGAGUGGGCGAGAAGUAUGCGGAAUGCGUGGUGUAGCGGUGAAAUGCAUAGAUAUCACGAAGAACUCCGAUUGCGAAGGCAGCUCACUGGACUGCAACUGACACUGAGGCUCGAAAGUGUGGGUAUCAAACAGG
This 253-nucleotide ribosomal RNA is filed under the name uncultured Bacteroides sp. RNAcentral describes it as "partial 16S ribosomal RNA". It matches the Rfam family "Bacterial small subunit ribosomal RNA", at positions 524 to 776 of the family's 1533-position model. The record is from RNAcentral. Lineage: Bacteria; Pseudomonadati; Bacteroidota; Bacteroidia; Bacteroidales; Bacteroidaceae.